This 468-nucleotide ribosomal RNA is filed under the name uncultured bacterium. RNAcentral's name for it is "partial 16S ribosomal RNA". It matches the Rfam family "Bacterial small subunit ribosomal RNA", at positions 28 to 507 of the family's 1533-position model. The record is from RNAcentral.
GACGAACGCUGGCGGCGUGCUUAACACAUGCAAGUCGAACGGAAAGGCCCUGCUUUUGUGGGGUGCUCGAGUGGCGAACGGGUGAGUAACACGUGAGUAACCUGCCCUUGACUUUGGGAUAACUUCAGGAAACUGGGGCUAAUACCGGAUAGGAGCUCCUGCUGCAUGGUGGGGGUUGGAAAGUUUCGGCGGUUGGGGAUGGACUCGCGGCUUAUCAGCUUGUUGGUGGGGUAGUGGCUUACCAAGGCUUUGACGGGUAGCCGGCCUGAGAGGGUGACCGGCCACAUUGGGACUGAGAUACGGCCCAGACUCCUACGGGAGGCAGCAGUGGGGAAUAUUGCACAAUGGGCGGAAGCCUGAUGCAGCAACGCCGCGUGCGGGAUGACGGCCUUCGGGUUGUAAACCGCUUUCGCCUGUGACGAAGCUUGAGUGACGGUAAUGGGUAAAGAAGCACCGGCUAACUACGUG